Molecule: ribosomal RNA, 572 nt
Filed under: uncultured fungus
Lineage: Eukaryota; Fungi
Description: eukaryotic LSU rRNA
Rfam family: Eukaryotic large subunit ribosomal RNA
Source: RNAcentral
ACAGGAUUCCCCUAGUAACGGCGAGUGAAGCGGGAAGAGCUCAAAUUUGUAAUCUGACACUUUCAGUGUCCGAGUUGUAAUCUCGAGAAGUGUUUUCCGCGCUGGACCGCAUACAAGUCUGUUGGAAUACAGCGUCAUAGUGGUGAGAACCCCGUAACUGAUGCGGAUGCCCAGUGCUUUGUGAUACACUUUCGAAGAGUCGAGUUGUUUGGGAAUGCAGCUCAAAUUGGGUGGUAAAUUCCAUCUAAAGCUAAAUAUUGGCGAGAGACCGAUAGCGAACAAGUACCGUGAGGGAAAGAUGAAAAGCACUUUGGAAAGAGAGUUAACAGUACGUGAAAUUGUUGGAAGGGAAACGCUUGAAGUCAGACUUGCUAUUUGGAUUUAUUCAAUUCGCAGGCCAGCAUCAGUUUUCGGGGGUGGAAAAGGGUUUGGAGAAGGUAGCAACUCCGGUUGUGUUAUAGCUCCUUGCUGGAUUCAUCUUUGGGGACUGAGGAACGCAGCACGCUUUUUGCAAGGCUUUCGAGCUUUUCGUGCUUAGGAUGCUGGUGGAAUGGCUUUAAACGACCCGUCUG